GCGCGCCCCGCCCCUCGCGCCCCGCCCCCCGCGCCCCAGCUCGGCUCGCGGGCGGGCGGCCCGGGUCCGCCCGAGUCGGCUGGAGCUGUUGCCAUGACGAGCAUUUUCGCGAGAAAGCUCUGCCGCUGAGACUGUCCGACGCGGGGGCCGAGGGAGGGGCGCGAACUUCCUGGGGACGCAUCCCUCCGCGGAGAGCGAGCCCGGGGACCCCCCGCCCAGCUCUGCUGCGCCCGUUUUCUUCCGGGACCCCGCGAGGUCCUUCCACUGGGCCGGAGCGGGACGGGCGGAGAGCGCAGCCGGCAUCUCGCGCGCGGUGGCCGCGCCGGGGCGGCCCGGGCGCCUGCCUCGCUCCGUCCAUGGAAACCCGCAGGGCGAGCGCCGCGCGGAGCCUGGACCUUUGCUAGAAAGAGCAUGGCAUGCCAAGUGGCGCCAAGUCCACACCCGGGAUCUGAACCGGUGAACCCUGGGCCGCCGAGAAGCAGAACGUGGGAACUUAACUGCUGCCCCACCAG
Molecule: long non-coding RNA, 512 nt
Filed under: Equus asinus (donkey)
Lineage: Eukaryota; Metazoa; Chordata; Mammalia; Perissodactyla; Equidae
Description: lncRNA (ENSEASG00005028122.1)
Source: RNAcentral